GGUAGUAUAAACUAUAAAAACCCAUAUAAACUGGCGGUUAAAACAUAUUAGAGGAACUCGCUUUAUAAUCGACAAUCCUCGUUAAUUUUCACUUGUCAUAAACCUAUUCUUUUUUAAAGCUUAUAUACCGCCGUUCCAGAAAAGACAAAAAAUCAAUUUCACAACUACUAACAAAAAAAUCAGGUCAAGGUGUAGCCCAUAGACAAGAAAAAGUAAGUUACAAUAAAUUUAAUUUAAGGAAUUAUUUUCCAAAGAAAUAAGGAAAAAGAAUCUAAAAAUACAAGUAAAUUAAAAUUUUACUUAGA
RNAcentral lists this ribosomal RNA (305 nucleotides) under cf. Pholcophora sp. Car544. RNAcentral describes it as "partial 12S ribosomal RNA". The record is from RNAcentral. Lineage: Eukaryota; Metazoa; Arthropoda; Arachnida; Araneae; Pholcidae.